RNAcentral lists this ribosomal RNA (253 nucleotides) under uncultured bacterium. RNAcentral describes it as "partial 16S ribosomal RNA". It matches the Rfam family "Bacterial small subunit ribosomal RNA", at positions 524 to 776 of the family's 1533-position model. The record is from RNAcentral.
UACGAGUGGUGCAAGCGUUAUUCGGAAUCAUUGGGCGUAAAGGGCGCGUAGACGGUAUGUUAAGUUCGCUGUUAAAUCCUUCGGCUUAACCGAAGAUCGGCAGUGAAUACUGGCGUGCUAGAGGGUGGAAGAGAGAAGUGGAAUUCUCGGAGUAGCGGUAAAAUGCGUAGAUCUCGAGAGGAACACCAAUGGCGAAGGCAGCUUCUUGGUCCAAUCCUGACGUUGAGGCGCGAAAGCGUGGGGAGCAAACAGG